GCCUCCGUGGUGAAACGGAUAUCACGAAACGCUUCGGACGUUUUGUUGAAGGUUCGAAUCCUUCCGGAGGCA
RNAcentral lists this transfer RNA (72 nucleotides) under Candidatus Parcubacteria bacterium. RNAcentral describes it as "tRNA-Arg". It matches the Rfam family "tRNA". Rfam says of the family: Transfer RNA (tRNA) molecules are approximately 80 nucleotides in length. Their secondary structure includes four short double-helical elements and three loops (D, anti-codon, and T loops). The record is from RNAcentral. Lineage: Bacteria; Candidatus Parcubacteria.